GCUCCAGUUCUCCCACACAACAGCUACCCUCCUGCAUGGCUGUGCCUCAAACCCAGUUUCCGUAGAGCCUUUGAGCUGGUGACUGAGCACCUUUGUUGUGGGUUUUGUGCCCUGCUGAGAGGUGGCUGGGUGAAGAAGUGGAGCAAUAAUCAUUUUGGUUCUCUACGGUGGAGAUCGGGUGGAGCCCAAGAGCAGAUCCUCUCACUUGAAGAAGAACAAAGAAGACGCUGUCUUUUCUAUAAAGCCACCAGCGGUCUCGAGGCAGAGAGUGGAAGGCGCGGCGUCAGCUGCAGCAGCCACGGCGAUGGCAACCACAGCAGCAGCGUCGGAGGAGGUGGCGGCGGUGGCAGCAUUGGUGGUGGCAGCGCGGCCCAUUUCAGGUCUCCAUGGCAACAGAGUGUGAACGUGUUUGGCUCGUGGAGCAGGCCGGAGUGUGUCGAAGAGCUUCACCAGCAGGCUCAGCUCAACCUCCAGAGCCUGCUGCAAGGUAAGGAUGGAAAACAGCAGGCGAGGGAUGGAGGAAUGGAUGGCUGGAGGGAGGGAACGAAGAGGUGUGUGUGUUGGGAUGGGAGUGUGUGUGCUGUAAUUUGAGUGGGUGGGAAAGGCAUUAAGGGAAGGGGUGGUAGGGAAAGUGUUUACGUGUGUGUGUGUGUGUGUGUGUGUGUGUGUGUGUGUGGUGUUGGACUGCGCUUGAAAAGGGUGUGUGACGACCCCUGUAAACAUGCAGACAUGCAACCUGUGUGUGUGUUCUCCAAUUUAAUCAUGUGUUUACGUAUAUUGCAGUUUAAGAAACGUAAGCGUGUGUGUGAUGUUGAUGGAUGUGUGUUGCAUUCACCUUGCAGUGUUGUUUUUUAAGUAUGUUGGGUGCAUUUCUUAGCAGAAUCAACACUGAUGAGAGGUUGAUGUGGCACGUUAGUGGUUUUCUCAGCUAAUGUGUGUGUUUUUGCGAUGGAAGUAAGUCAUCGGUGUGAAAACUGAAGGUGGGAUUCCAUCGUUUUAACAAUAAUCUCUUGUUUACGGAAGAUGCUGCUCUGCUGCGUUAAAUCCGUGCUCAUGGGAGCGAAGACUCUUCUGUAUUUCUGUUCCUUUUCCUCUUCACCAGCUGGCUUUCUCUCUCGUUUUCUACAUCUCUUCAUGUGACUCAUGCCGUCUUUGCCUUUCCUUGUCCUUUCCAUUAAAACAAUGGCAUCUGGACGAACACGGGGGAGGAAAUGUGGCAAACUAUAACACUUGAGUGAGGAAGUGAAUUCAUCACACAUCAUAUUUCGAUGCUAUUUUGCUCUGAUCUUUGAUUAAAAUCUCUCUUUAAGCUGUUUGGGCAGAAAUGUGGUGGGUCUCUUAUGCCUGAUGUCAUCAUCCCACACCAGAAUGUUACCUCCACAGACUGUUUGGAAGGAAAUCUUAAAUAGUCUAAAUAAUGAUGCACAAAUUACCUCAAUGAUCCAGUUUAGCUGUAAUUCUGGAGCAAACGUCUCUGUUCAUUGCUCCUGGUUGUAGAGUGAAGUGUGUAGCUGCAGAUGUUUGUUUUUAUGGUAAUGCUGCCUUAAGCACACUGAUAAACAAUCCAUCAUGCCGUAGAUCUAACAAGCUGUUGGAAACACCCCUCAGAGGUUCUGAUCCUUACCGACAUGACACCAUCACAAAGUUUUAUUAUUGAUGGGAAUCUCCAGUUCCACCACAUCCCAAAGGUUCUGGACUAAUUGAGUUCUGGUAACCGUAGAGGUCAUUGGAGUCCAGUGAACCUAUCGUUAGAGACGAUGUGAGCUUUGUGACACGGUGCUUUAUCCUGCUGGAAGUAGCCAUCAGAAAAUGGGUCCAUGUGGUCAUAAGGGGGUGGACACAUUCAGGAGAAACACUCAGGUAAGCUGUGGUGUUUAAAACAAGCUCAGGUGGUGCUAAGAGGUCAGGUGGUACAAGGUGGGUAAGAACAUCUCCGCACCAUUAUUACACCACCAGCAGCAGCCUGAAGCAUUGAUACAAGGCAGGAUGGAUCCAUGCUUUCAUGUUGGUGACACCAAAUUCUGACCCAAACAUCUGAACGUUACAGCUGAGAUCCACACUCGAGCAUUUUUCCUCGUCCAGUUCUGGUGAUCCUGUGUGAACUGUAGCCUCGCAUUCCCGUUCUUAGCCAGGUGAAUUCUGGAACCAUGGUUAUUCUUUACUACUGUUGUCUUUCUAUAAUUCACAACCAGUCUCACCAUCUUCCUCUGACCUCAACAAUUUCUGCUAGCUGCAUAGUUUCUCUUCUUCAGACCAUUCUCUGUUAACCCCAGAGAUGGGUGUGGGUGAAAGUCCCAGUAGAUCAGCAGUUUUUACAGUAUAUAUAUAAUAUAUAAUAUAUAUUAUAUAUAAUAAAAAGUAUAUCUGGUACCAACAACUGUUCCACGUGUAAAGCCACUUACAUUUCCUUUCUUAUCAAUUCUGAUGCUUAGCAUGAACCUCUGUGGUUCAUCUUCACCUCUUCUAGGGCAAGUCAACACAAGCCGAUUUUACAAAACAAUGCCUUCAAUUUGCCGCAAUGCCGUGGCGGCAUCAGGGAGACUUCGGUCGUUUAUAAAUAAUCAGACCGUGGCGGCAAUGUUGCACAACUGUGUCCUUUUUACAAAAGAUUGUGCGAUUGCGACAUAAGGGGAGUGUGGGAGCGGACUCGGCACUGCAGCAGACUUCUGUUUAUCUUGGACAUAAAUAGCUUUUUGUUGCGACUGAAGCUGCGAUCGCUAUGCUCCUAAAGGUGCCUGUCCUCCACAUUCCCUGUGCAGUGUCUGGUGACAUGACCUCCAGCUCUAAGGGAGAGAAGCUCCUGGAGCGCUGCAUGGCUCCGGUUUAUCAUCUCAGCUGAUUCUGGUUAGAAAAGCGAAACUUACAGCCCGCGUUUACUUCCAUUUUCAAUACAGUUGCCGGCCAGAGCUUGGCAGUAACUCCCCAUGUGAUCAUGACACCUUCUUCUGUUCCACCACGGCGCAAUCUCCGUUUAUAAGUCAAAUAUUUACCACAAUAUUACUACCAAGCGAGGCGGAACGAAUGCCGCAAAAUUUGCGCAACGCCAUGCUGGCAUGACAAGACACACCGUUGUGGUAACUACGCCGGCAUGGUGUGUCUUGUAAAAAGGGCUACUGCUGUUCAUAUGGAUGGAUUAUUUGUGAAUCUGUGUCAGUUCAGUUCCACUUAAUUAUAAAUA
Molecule: long non-coding RNA, 3178 nt
Filed under: Nothobranchius furzeri (turquoise killifish)
Lineage: Eukaryota; Metazoa; Chordata; Actinopteri; Cyprinodontiformes; Nothobranchiidae
Description: lncRNA (ENSNFUG00015008296.1)
Source: RNAcentral